GCGGCAGGCCUAACACAUGCAAGUCGAGCGGAGCGGCGGACGGGUGAGUAAUGCCUAGGAAUCUGCCUGGUAGUGGGGGACAACGUUUCGAAAGGAACGCUAAUACCGCAUACUAUCAGAUGAGCCUAGGUCGGAUUAGCUAGUUGGUGGGGUAAAGGCCUACCAAGGCGACGAUCCGUAACUGGUCUGAGAGGAUGAUCAGUCACACUGGAACUGAGACACGGUCCAGACUCCUACGGGAGGCAGCAGUGGGGAAUAUUGGACAAUGGGCGAAAGCCUGAUCCAGCCAUGCCGCGUGUGUGAAGAAGGUCUUCGGAUUGUAAAGCACUUUAAGUUGGGAGGCGUUACCAACAGAAUAAGCACCGGCUAACUUCGUGCCAGCAGCCGCGGUAAUACGAAGGGUGCAAGCGUUACUCGGAAUUACUGGGCGUAAAGCGUGCGUAGGUGGUCGUUUAAGUCCGUUGUGAAAGCCCUGGGCUCAACCUGGGAACUGCAGUGGAUACUGGGCGACUAGAAUGUGGUAGAGGGUAGCGGAACUCCUGGUGUAGCAGUGAAAUGCGUAGAG
RNAcentral lists this ribosomal RNA (565 nucleotides) under uncultured bacterium. Its description in RNAcentral is "bacterial SSU rRNA". It matches the Rfam family "Bacterial small subunit ribosomal RNA", at positions 39 to 695 of the family's 1533-position model. The record is from RNAcentral.